RNAcentral lists this ribosomal RNA (253 nucleotides) under uncultured bacterium. RNAcentral describes it as "partial 16S ribosomal RNA". It matches the Rfam family "Bacterial small subunit ribosomal RNA", at positions 524 to 776 of the family's 1533-position model. The record is from RNAcentral.
UACGUAGGGCGCAAGCGUUAUCCGGAAUUAUUGGGCGUAAAGGGCUCGUAGGCGGUCCGUCACGUCGGGAGUGAAAUCCUGGGGCUUAACCCCAGAACUGCUUCCGAUACGGGCAGACUAGAGGUAGGUAGGGGAGAAUGGAACUCCUGGUGUAGCGGUGGAAUGCGCAGAUAUCAGGAGGAACACCAGUGGCGAAGGCGGUUCUCUGGGCCUUACCUGACGCUGAGGAGCGAAAGCGUGGGGAGCAAACAGG